RNAcentral lists this ribosomal RNA (459 nucleotides) under uncultured bacterium. Its description in RNAcentral is "bacterial SSU rRNA". It matches the Rfam family "Bacterial small subunit ribosomal RNA", at positions 29 to 497 of the family's 1533-position model. The record is from RNAcentral.
AUUGAACGCUGGCGGAAUGCUUUACACAUGCAAGUCGAGCGGCAGCACGGGGGCAACCCUGGUGGCGAGCGGCGAACGGGUGAGUAAUACGUCGGAACAUGCCCAGUCGUGGGGGGAUAACACUUCGAAAGAAGUGCUAAUACCGCAUACGUCCUGAGGGAGAAAGCGGGGGAUCGCAAGACCUCGCGCGAUUGGAGUGACCGAUGUCCGAUUAGCUAGUUGGCGGGGUAAAGGCCCACCAAGGCGACGAUCGGUAGCUGGUCUGAGAGGACGACCAGCCACACUGGAACUGAGACACGGUCCAGACUCCUACGGGAGGCAGCAGUGGGGAAUAUUGCGCAAUGGGCGAAAGCCUGACGCAGCCACGCCGCGUGAGUGAUGAAGGCCUUCGGGUCGUAAAACUCUGUCGGGAGGGACGAAGGGGCAACCCGUGACGGUACCUCGCAAGAAAGCACCGGC